RNAcentral lists this ribosomal RNA (262 nucleotides) under uncultured archaeon. RNAcentral describes it as "partial 16S ribosomal RNA". It matches the Rfam family "Archaeal small subunit ribosomal RNA", at positions 748 to 1008 of the family's 1478-position model. The record is from RNAcentral.
AGGGUGUAAACGCUGCCGACUUGGUGUUGGAGGCCCUUCGGGGGCGAUUCAGUGCCGGAGAGAAGUUGUUAAGUCGGCCACUUGGGGAGUACGUCCGCAAGGAUGAAACUUAAAGGAAUUGGCGGGGGAGCACCGCAACGGGAGGAGCGUGCGGUUUAAUUGGAUUCAACACCGUAAAACUCACCAGGGAAGACUGUUACAUGAAGGCCGAGAUGAAGACUCUGCUAGAUUUUCAGAGAGGAGGUGCAUGGCGUCAGUGACU